AAACUUCAUAAAGGGUAUACAUGUUUAGAUUUUUCUUCCGGUAAAAUCUUUAUCUCACGCCAUGUUUUAUUUUUUGAGCAGGAGUUUCCAUUCAAGAAGUUAAAUGAUAAUUCGGCUAUGUCUACUCCAGCAGCAACUCCGACCUCAGUGCCAUUACCACCAGUACCAGUUUUCCAUCAUACACAAUCUGGGAUUCUUGGUGCCUCACCCCAUACUGCUCAACCAUUUGUGCAAAAUUCUUUACAAACAGAUGAAGAACAAACUGCUUUAAACCAGCAGCAUGAAGAAAUAAUGGGCCCC
This 300-nucleotide long non-coding RNA is filed under the name Manihot esculenta (cassava). Its description in RNAcentral is "long non-coding RNA (MESC_LNC006699)". The record is from RNAcentral. Lineage: Eukaryota; Viridiplantae; Streptophyta; Magnoliopsida; Malpighiales; Euphorbiaceae.